AAAAUUCAAGAGAUUAGUUUACCCAUGAUUCUUACGCCGCCCUACAAAAAUCUUAUUGCUCAGGCUCAUAAUGGCUCUGGUAAAACGACUUGCUUUGUACUUGGAAUGUUGAGUCGGGUCGAUCCGAAGCUUCGUGCACCUCAAGCUCUCUGUAUUUGUCCAACCAGAGAAUUGGCUAUUCAGGUUUGACAUAAAUGCUGUUUUUUAUUUUCUUUUGAAUUUAAGUUAUAUGCAUGAGGCCCUCACUCAAUUAUAGCUUCAUAAGUCGAUUUGUUUUAAUAGUAAUAACUAAAUUAGGUUUUAAUUAAUGAAAUAUAGGUUACAUCUGGCGACACGUUGUACAAAUCAGCGAAGAGAUUUGAGGAUUUGAACUUGUCUCCUUAGUUAUUGAAGGGAUUAUAUGUAGAGAUGAAGUUUGAGCGGCCUAGCAAAAUUCAAGAGAUUAGUUUACCCAUGAUUCUUACGCCGCCCUACAAGAAUCUUAUUGCUCAGGCUCAUAAUGGCUCUGGUAAAACUACUUGCUUUGUACUUGGAAUGUUGAGUCGGGUCGAUCCGAAGCUUCGUGCACCUCAAGCUCUCUGUAUUUGUCCAACCAGAGAAUUGGCUAUUCAGGUUUGACAUAAAUGCUGUUUUUUAUUUUCUUUUGAAUUUAAGUUAUAUGCAUGAGGCGGACCCAGGAUGAUUUGAGCGCGACGGUGGCACCAUCACUUUAUAUAUGCAAAUUACUAGCGACAAAAGCAACUCUUUGAAAACGUAAAUGAUUAUGA
This 767-nucleotide long non-coding RNA is filed under the name Nicotiana benthamiana. RNAcentral describes it as "long non-coding RNA (NBEN_LNC015927)". The record is from RNAcentral. Lineage: Eukaryota; Viridiplantae; Streptophyta; Magnoliopsida; Solanales; Solanaceae.